Molecule: ribosomal RNA, 497 nt
Filed under: uncultured bacterium
Lineage: Bacteria
Description: partial 16S ribosomal RNA
Rfam family: Bacterial small subunit ribosomal RNA
Source: RNAcentral
GAUGAACGCUGGCGGCGUGCCUAAUACAUGCAAGUCGAGCGAACAGACGAGGAGCUUGCUCCUCUGACGUUAGCGGCGGACGGGUGAGUAACACGUGGAUAACCUACCUAUAAGACCGGGAUAACUUCGGGAAACCGGAGCUAAUACCGGAUAAUAUAUUGAACCGCAUGGUUCAAUAGUGAAUGACGGUUUUGCUGUCACUUAUUGAUUGAUCCGCGCCGCAUUAGCUAGUUGGUAAGGUAACGGCUUACCAAGGUAACGAUGCGUAGCCGACCUGAGUGGGUGAUCGGCCACACUGGAACUGAGACACGGUCCAGACUCCUACGGGAGGCAGCAGUAGGGAAUCUUCCGCAAUGGGCGAAAGCCUGACGGAGCAACGCCGCGUGAGUGAUGAAGGUCUUCGGAUCGUAAAACUCUGUUAUUAGGGAAGAACAAAUGUGUAAGUAACUAUGCACGUCUUGACGGUACCUAAUCAGAAAGCCACGGCUAACUACGUG